AAAUUGAAGAGUUUGAUCAUGGCUCAGAUUGAACGCUGGCGGCAGGCCUAACACAUGCAAGUCGAACGGUAACAGGAAGCAGCUUGCUGUUUCGCUGACGAGUGGCGGACGGGUGAGUAAUGUCUGGGAAACUGCCUGAUGGAGGGGGAUAACUACUGGAAACGGUGGCUAAUACCGCAUAACGUCGCAAGACCAAAGAGGGGGACCUUCGGGCCUCUUGCCAUCAGAUGUGCCCAGAUGGGAUUAGCUUGUUGGUGAGGUAACGGCUCACCAAGGCGACGAUCCCUAGCUGGUCUGAGAGGAUGACCAGCCACACUGGAACUGAGACACGGUCCAGACUCCUACGGGAGGCAGCAGUGGGGAAUAUUGCACAAUGGGCGCAAGCCUGAUGCAGCCAUGCCGCGUGUAUGAAGAAGGCCUUCGGGUUGUAAAGUACUUUCAGCGGGGAGGAAGGUGUUGUGGUUAAUAACC
This 471-nucleotide ribosomal RNA is filed under the name Salmonella enterica. RNAcentral's name for it is "bacterial SSU rRNA". It matches the Rfam family "Bacterial small subunit ribosomal RNA", at positions 1 to 468 of the family's 1533-position model. The record is from RNAcentral. RNAcentral also lists the same sequence under 1 other name. Lineage: Bacteria; Pseudomonadati; Pseudomonadota; Gammaproteobacteria; Enterobacterales; Enterobacteriaceae.